Long non-coding RNA from Lycium ferocissimum, 1568 nucleotides. RefSeq lists it as uncharacterized. The transcript has 3 exons. NCBI's taxonomy places the organism in Eukaryota, Viridiplantae, Streptophyta, Magnoliopsida, Solanales, Solanaceae. The record is from RefSeq and is a predicted model, not a curated record.
CGCCAUUAACGCUCGUUUUCAGUGGUCCCCAACCCCCCAAAACGCUAUUUUCGUGUUGUUUUUCAAUCCAAAACUCAAUAUUCUUGGUAUAUUGAAGUGUAGGAACAAGUUUCUAAGGUUAGAUUUUGGAAUAGAGCGGCGCGGAGCUCAUUUUGAAAACUCAAAAACACCUUCAUUCUAGAUGGAUCACCACCCUCUUGAUCCAGGGCCCUUCGACCGAGAGUUACUAUAUCUUCAGCCCGAGCAUAGGUCGCAACAUAUAUGGACAUCCGACCUGCAGCCUGAGUCUCAGGUCCGUACCCGGUUAAGGGACUCAGCAUGGGAGAUCUUGGCUGCUCGCCCCCCACAUUCUCGUGUCUUGGAUAUACUACGUCGGGGCGGUAUCUACCGGUGCGUCAAAGUUGGUCGGGUACAGCACGAUAGGUCGCUAGUGACGGCAUUGAUUGAGAGGUGGCGACCGGAGACGCACACAUUUCAUCUCCGCACCGGUGAGGCUACCAUUACCCUUCAGGAUGUGGAGGUCAUUUAUGGGCUACAGGUUGAUGGACGCCCAUUGUAUAUUAAGGAGCCUCAUGUGCUGCCGCCUUACCUGGAUGAGUUGACUAGGCUCACUUGGUUUCGCGGCUCGGAUGGUCAUAUUUCCGGCCGCAGUGGCUUUUGUUGUCGACCCUUUAUGCUCACUUGCGCCUCACAGACAUGCAACAUCCGAUUGGAGAGGACACACCUCAGGCUGAUGUUGACCGACGUGCGCGUCUAUACCUACUCAUCAUAUUCGGGGCCAUCCUGUUCCCGAACACUUCGGGUUCGCAUAUGAGCUUGAGGUAUCUUCGGUAUAUCGACGAUCUCGCCGAGAUAGGAUGUUAUAGUUGGGGCGCUGCUAUGCUGGGCUAUAUGUAUCGAGGAUUCUGCCGAUGUUCUAUGGGCACGAGGGUAGAGGUCCCUGCAUUUUGCUCGCUCCUUCAGGUAAUAUAUUUAAGUGUGUGUAAUUAAACACAAAAUAUAUUUUUUUAAAACGACGACUGAUAAAAUAUUUUUUAAAUGACUAUAUCAUAUAUGGGUGUGGACUAGGUUGAGACCUUUUCAGCCCAUACCAGCUCACCCUCCCGCUGACUAUCUUACUGUGCCGAUGCCAUACGCGCGGAGAUGGUCGCGAGGCGUACGCCGACGUGCGGAGACGCACCACAGCCUUCUCCCGUUUAGGGAUCAGCUAGACCGCAUGACGGCGCGUACGGCUUUUAUAUGGACGCCGUAUGAUCAUAUUUUGGAUGAGUUCUGCCGGCGUUUUGUAGGGCUGGUCAGCACAUGUGGAUGUCGCGGUGUCCAUUGAUACAUAUGGAUAUCGUUGAGUAUCACGCGCCCGACCGCGUGUUACGGCAGUUUGGGUAUGUACAGAAUAUACCCGCGGCUACGGAUUGGGAGCAUGACCACUAUGUGAGGGACGAGCGUGCGGGCGUCGAUGAUGCAUGGCGACUCCAUAUGCAGCAGCAGGUCCAGAGUUGGGAUGUGAGGAUGACGAGCCUAGCGGUGGUCGGACAUGACACUCCGAUCCAUGUGUACAUGGAGUGGUA